AUUGAACGCUGGCGGCAUGCUUUACACAUGCAAGUCGAACGGCAGCGCGGGCUUCGGCCUGGCGGCGAGUGGCGAACGGGUGAGUAAUGCAUCGGAACGUGCCCAGUAGUGGGGGAUAGCCCGGCGAAAGCCGGAUUAAUACCGCAUACGACCUGAGGGUGAAAGCGGGGGACCGAAAGGCCUCGCGCUAUUGGAGCGGCCGAUGUCGGAUUAGCUAGUUGGUGGGGUAAAGGCUUACCAAGGCGACGAUCCGUAGCUGGUCUGAGAGGACGACCAGCCAAACUGGGACUGAGACACGGCCCAGACUCCUACGGGAGGCAGCAGUGGGGAAUUUUGGACAAUGGGGGCAACCCUGAUCAGCCAUGCCGCGUGCGGGAAGAAGGCCUUCGGGUUGUAAACCGCUUUUGUUCGGGAAGAAAUCCUCUGGGCUAAUACCCCGGGGGGAUGACGGUACCGGAAGAAUAAGCACCGGCUAACUACGUG
RNAcentral lists this ribosomal RNA (483 nucleotides) under uncultured bacterium. RNAcentral's name for it is "partial 16S ribosomal RNA". It matches the Rfam family "Bacterial small subunit ribosomal RNA", at positions 29 to 507 of the family's 1533-position model. The record is from RNAcentral.